UAGGGAAUCUUCGGCAAUGGGCGAAAGCCUGACCGAGCAACGCCGCGUGAGCGAUGAAGGCCUUCGGGUCGUAAAGCUCUGUUGUUAAGGAAGAACAAGUACGAGAGUAACUGCUCGUACCUUGACGGUACUUAACGAGAAAGCCACGGCUAACUACGUGCCAGCAGCCGCGGUAAUACGUAGGUGGCGAGCGUUAUCCGGAAUUAUUGGGCGUAAAGCGCGCGCAGGCGGUUUCUUAAGUCUGAUGUGAAAGCCCACGGCUCAACCGUGGAGGGUCAUUGGAAACUGGGAAACUUGAGUGCAGAAGAGGAAAGCGGAAUUCCACGUGUAGCGGUGAAAUGCGUAGAGAUGUGGAGGAACACCAGUGGCGAAGGCGGCUUUCUGGUCUGUAACUGACGCUGAGGCGCGAAAGCGUGGGGAGCAAACAGGAUUAGAUACCCUGGUAGUCCACGCCGUAAACGAUGAGUGCUAAGUGUUAGAGGGUUUCCGCCCUUUAGUGCUGAAGUUAACG
Molecule: ribosomal RNA, 511 nt
Filed under: uncultured Bacillota bacterium
Lineage: Bacteria; Bacillati; Bacillota
Description: bacterial SSU rRNA
Rfam family: Bacterial small subunit ribosomal RNA
Source: RNAcentral